GGAUGUAAUCAUACUAGCACUAAUGCAUCGGAUCCYAUCAUAACUCAAAAGUUAAGAGUGAUUGGAUAUGAGUACCCUGAACUAAAACAUGCUUGGACAUGAAUGACAUUAUAGGAAAUCAUCUUGUUGCACUCC
RNAcentral lists this ribosomal RNA (135 nucleotides) under Nelumbo nucifera (sacred lotus). The record is from RNAcentral. Lineage: Eukaryota; Viridiplantae; Streptophyta; Magnoliopsida; Proteales; Nelumbonaceae.